This 336-nucleotide ribosomal RNA is filed under the name uncultured bacterium. RNAcentral's name for it is "bacterial SSU rRNA". It matches the Rfam family "Bacterial small subunit ribosomal RNA", at positions 28 to 353 of the family's 1533-position model. The record is from RNAcentral.
GACGAACGCUGGUGGCGUGCUUAACACAUGCAAGUCGAACGAGGGGAUUAGAAGCUUGCUUUUAUGACCCGAGUGGCAAACGGGUGAGUAACGCGUAGACAACCUGCCUCUCAGAUGGGGACAACAUCCCGAAAGGGGUGCUAAUACCGAAUGUUGUGCAAUCUCCACAUGGAGGAUGCACCAAAGGUGGUUUCGGCCACCGCUGAGAGAUGGGUCUGCGUCUGAUUAGCUUGUUGGCGGGGUAACGGCCACCAAGGCGACGAUCAGUAGCCGGUCUGAGAGGAUGAACGGCACAUUGGAACUGAGACACGGUCCAGACUCCUACGGGAGGCAGCA